GAAGAAACUUUGUUAGGGUGAAAGCAAAGUUGGGAAAGUUGUAAUUACAACUUAAAAAGAUGCAAGGGAAGAAAUUCAUAAUGAAAGAGCAAGAAUUGCAGUUUGAAGAAUAAGAAGUUUUGGUUAUUGAGAUUUCACCUUUUGAAAUCCAAGAUUAUAAGAGUGAGUUGGAAAAUUUUGAAGAACUUAUUCUAGAUAAAGAAGCUGAUGAGAUAU
This 216-nucleotide unclassified non-coding RNA is filed under the name Hevea brasiliensis (rubber tree). The record is from RNAcentral. Lineage: Eukaryota; Viridiplantae; Streptophyta; Magnoliopsida; Malpighiales; Euphorbiaceae.